CAAAAUCUGCAUUAGCAUGUCACAUUAGCAUAAGUCAUCUCUUCGGACAGAGACCAGGCUCUCAAAGCUAACAAGAGCGUUGUCAAAACCUAGUACCUGGUAAGAGAAGGCUGGCAAAUGAUGGACUCAUAAUCAAAUUCAUGCCCACCUCCAGAAUACCACGAUCGCAAGUGUGGCCUAGAUAUAUACACAUUGAUUAUCUUGUACGAAAGAUAUUUGCACAAUCCUCCGGUUCUUGUGCAUGAACACAAAUUGUUCCUGAAGCCCAAAGAGAAGGAAAUAAGCCAGAGCAAGCAAGCCAGGGUUCAGUCAUCAGUACACGUCUACCUGUGAUAACUUGAGUGGAGCACGUUGGUCUUUGCGGUGAGACAUCUGAACCCUCCCUUCGGCGCCACGGAUC
Long non-coding RNA from Tigriopus californicus, 400 nucleotides. RefSeq lists it as uncharacterized. The transcript has 3 exons. Lineage: Eukaryota; Metazoa; Arthropoda; Copepoda; Harpacticoida; Harpacticidae. The record is from RefSeq and is a predicted model, not a curated record.